RNAcentral lists this ribosomal RNA (498 nucleotides) under uncultured bacterium. RNAcentral's name for it is "bacterial SSU rRNA". It matches the Rfam family "Bacterial small subunit ribosomal RNA", at positions 36 to 518 of the family's 1533-position model. The record is from RNAcentral.
ACUGGCGGCGUGCCUAACACAUGCAAGUCGAACGGAGAAUAUACGCUUCAGAAGCUUCGGCAGAUGAUUGUAUAUCUUAGUGGCGGACGGGUGAGUAACGCGUGGGCAACCUGCCUCAUACUGGGGGAUAACAGCUGGAAACGACUGUUAAUACCGCAUAAGCGCACAGUGUCGCAUGACACAGUGUGAAAAACUCCGGUGGUAUGAGAUGGGCCCGCGUCAGAUUAGCCAGUUGGCGGGGUAACGGCCCACCAAAGCGACGAUCUGUAGCCGGCCUGAGAGGGCGGACGGCCACAUUGGGACUGAGACACGGCCCAAACUCCUACGGGAGGCAGCAGUGGGGGAUAUUGCACAAUGGAGGAAACUCUGAUGCAGCGACGCCGCGUGAGCGAAGAAGUAUUUCGGUAUGUAAAGCUCUAUCAGCAGGGAAGAAAGGCUCGUAAGAGAGAUGACGGUACCUGACUAAGAAGCCCCGGCUAACUACGUGCCAGCAGCAGC